AUUUUAUCUCUAAUUUUAGCAUCUGGGUUUAAUAUGGAAAUUGAAUUAUAUGAUUUCUAGUCUCCUGGGUUUAUGAUUUUCUCUUCCCUGAGGGAUUACAAGGUAACCAGGUUUACAGUUGUCUCAGGGAACACAAAGUGUGGCUGAAUGUUGGGAGAUUACUUGGGAGAAUUUUUUCUUAAGAUAAGUAGAACUCAGCUUGGAGCCUUCCCUGGUCAUAGGCUCCCUGAAAGUGCUUUUUUAAGUCUGGAUGGAGGAGGCUCCUGAGAACAUCUUGUCUAUUGUAUUCAGAAAGGCUUGAGUCUAUGAUCUAGCCAGAGAACAACAGUUCUUGAAAAAGUAGGAAAGUGUUGUUCACAGGUCUCCUUUUAUUAUUUCUUUUGUCUUUUUUCUGCUUACAACCCAGAACGGUUGGAGAGGAAACAGAGGAAAUGAUUGGCAGCUGUGUGACUAUACUGAGAAAUUACAGUUUGUUUUUAGAGAUCACUGUUGGCAAUCCUGUCAAGUUAUUAUUCCUCUGUUGUGUACAGUACACUGUCUGAAAACAUUUGGUUGCUGUCUUUUCUUCCAGAUCAGUUGGAAAAGAGCCCUGUGUUCUUCUUCACCCUAGUGAGAGCAGAGAACAUGAUCUGAAAUAAGGCUUUAAACAGUUACAAUCGAGGAGAUAUAGAAGGGUCAAAAAGACUGGGUCGCAAUGCGCUCUGGGUUGCUGUCGCAUCAAUUUUCAUUGGCCUUGUCGUCAUCGGAAUCUAUUGCGUAGUUCAUUUCACAACGUAUGCUAUCUGAAGACCAGGACUGCACUUGAAGGAUAUCGUCAUGUAAAUCUCAGGAGGGGAAAAGUAAGAAGAAAAGGAAGUUCUUCAUUCCAGACUCUUAGAUUUGACCCUGCAAGUCUCUCUGCAGAGGCAUGUUGCUGGUGGAUCAACUGAUAAUUCAGUUAGUUAAUCAGUGUGGUGUGACCAGGUAUUCAAAAUGAUUUAUUUAUAAGGAAUCUCAGUAUAAAGCAGAAUUUUCUCUUUUACUCUAAUGUACAAUGAGAUCUUGCCCUAAUGACUCCCUUUUCUUUCUAAUUUAUGUGGAAUGUAUGCUGGAUCCAUGGUGUUCCCUGGCUGAGCCUAGUCAGUCAAAGCCAACUUACCUAGACUGUUUAUAGUGCAUAGUGUAGGAUCUGAUGCACAACCUGCUAGUAGAACCUAGUAGGAGAACUCCUGCUGCCUCCAGUGGACUUUGGGUCAGGCCAUUAAGGAUUCUUAUAUUCCUUUAAAAUAGCCUCAACAUAAACUAGUCAUAACCACAAGUUUGUGAUUUUAUCUUGCUAUGUGCUUUUAUAAUGCCGUGGGUGUACUCUGACUCAGCGGCUGCUUUCUUUGUCACCUUCAGCUUUUCAGUCUUUCACAUUGUUUUUUUCACCACGCAGUGACUGAUUUCAAUAAUUUGAUUAUUAAGAGACACUCUUGUUCCAUAGCAUUCAUAUUUUUCUUAAUGAUAUCUUUUUGUUUUGUUGUCUUUCAUUGUUGAACUCCCUUGACUUAGCUUCAGCCCUGCAUUAAAGUUGUACUGAGCAUAUUUUUCUCUUUAAACUUCUCUGAUCCAUGUACGUAAGAAGUUUCUCUAUUUUUUCAUUUGACAAAGGAUCUUCUUUUUAAAUAGAUAUGUUUCUUCCUCCCUUUGUUAUUGCUCCUCUAGCAAGUCACAUAGUUUCAUUAUAUUCUGCUUUGUCAGUGUCUUUUUGUUUGAUUUACCCUCUCAUCUUGCUGUGAAUAGUCUGUACAUCAAUGCAGUUAGACAUGGACAGAUUCUUCUACCCUUACUGGUGUUACAUAGACUCUUGCUGAUCUUGAGUUACUACUCAGUGAACAGCCUUAAAUUACAGAAUUGAUGGUCUCUAAAUUAAUGCAAUUUCUUGAUACCUUACGAAAAUAUAGCAUG
Molecule: long non-coding RNA, 1929 nt
Filed under: Dromaius novaehollandiae (emu)
Lineage: Eukaryota; Metazoa; Chordata; Aves; Casuariiformes; Dromaiidae
Description: lncRNA (ENSDNVG00000007281.1)
Source: RNAcentral